GCAGUAUAUGGAUACUCCAUACUCGAUAUGGAUGGACCCUUGAGUCAGCCUAAGUCACUGCAUUUCUAAUGAAUUUAGAAAAGACAUUUAAACACUUCACAGAUUUCUCCUGGGAACCUAUGGGCCAAUAACUGGCUCAGCAGAGGAUGCUGAAAAGACCUUUACCGCAGGAGCGCUGGGAGCAUCAUCUUGCCAGGUUUCUCCAAGAUGACAAGGUCACCAGAUUAAGUGCAGCAGGCUUUUCUGGCAUUUGGCUCCAGGAUUCUGCUGACUUUGCUCUUCAUGCUGAGGAAUCCUUCAGACUUGUUUAAUAGGUUGUCAGCUUUCUGCUUCUCCAGCCAGCCCCACGUGCAUUCCUCAUGCAAAUUGGUGCAACCUCCAACAGAAAUUACAACGUCAAAGCAUUCACAGAGCUCAGUACAAAGCCACCAGUCAGGGGUUCCUCGUGAUUUUGAAACAUCCCAGUUUCUGAAAAGCUAGUUUGAGUUUACACAGUAUUGAGCAAAACAUUAAACAUUCUGCCCUUGGGUCUGUUAUGUCAGAAGCAAACACAGAUGUGAAUACUGUGAUACAUCUCUGCAUUUCUCCUCACAGCUCAUGUUUUGGAUUCCUUAUCUGCAGCAGUAAGCAGUUCUCAAUUAACUCCUCCUGCUGUUUGUGAGAAAAAUGUAUAACAAGCCUGGAUCCCACUGGUCAUACGGGAUUAUUUCAAGAGUUUACAUUACAAUUGCUUCUGAACUGUUUCUCCAGUCAUUGAACACUGCUGGACAAAGAUGUCGGGAAAAGCAAAUCCCUGGUCUUCCUGAACAAUUCCUUCUUCAGACACACAGCCACAAGGGUUCAAAGGUCCCUGCGGCCUUUGUUCUCAGUUCCAGAGUAGUUACAAACAAACUUUUGUUCCUGUUUCUUCAAUGAAAUAAGCUGCAGCAGUUACCAAUGACUGAACUUUACAUCUGAAGCUUGCUUUGUCCAUCAUGCAACAGGAGGACUACAGAAUCUCAUUUACACUUCCAAAAAUAAGUUAUCAGAACUUUUGCUGAAAUAAAAAUCAACUACUCCUUACUGAUUCA
RNAcentral lists this long non-coding RNA (1070 nucleotides) under Parus major (Great Tit). RNAcentral's name for it is "lncRNA (ENSPMJG00000009306.1)". The record is from RNAcentral. Lineage: Eukaryota; Metazoa; Chordata; Aves; Passeriformes; Paridae.